RNAcentral lists this ribosomal RNA (444 nucleotides) under uncultured bacterium. RNAcentral's name for it is "partial 16S ribosomal RNA". It matches the Rfam family "Bacterial small subunit ribosomal RNA", at positions 354 to 796 of the family's 1533-position model. The record is from RNAcentral.
GUAGGGAAUAUUGGGCAAUGGUCGGAAGACUGACCCAGUCAUGCCGCGUGCAGGAAGACGGCCCUCUGGGUUGUAAACUGCUUUUAUCUGGGAAGAAAAAGGCCAUGCGUGGCAAAUUGCCGGUACCAGAUGAAUAAGCACCGGCUAACUCCGUGCCAGCAGCCGCGGUAAUACGGAGGGUGCGAGCGUGGUCCGGAUUUAUUGGGUUUAAAGGGUGCGUAGGCGGCUGAUUAAGUCAGCGGUGAAAGACUUCGGCUUAACCGGAGCAGUGCCGUUGCUACUGGUUGGCUUGAGGGUCGUAGGGGUACAUGGAAUUGAUGGUGUAGCGGUGAAAUGCAUAGAUACCAUCAGGAACACCGAUAGCGAAGGCAUUGUACUGGCCGACAACUGACGCUGAUGCACGAAAGUGUGGGGAUCGAACAGGAUUAGAUACCCGGGUAGUCC